This is a non-coding RNA of Aegilops tauschii subsp. strangulata, 1205 nucleotides long. The record is from RefSeq and is a predicted model, not a curated record. NCBI's taxonomy places the organism in Eukaryota, Viridiplantae, Streptophyta, Magnoliopsida, Poales, Poaceae.
UUCCCCCCAUCUCUUUCUCCCACCACCGCCGCCCCAGCAUCUUCUUCCUUCUCUCUGAUCCUCUCCUUUACGCUGCCCCCGCACCCCCACCGCUCUGGUUCUCCUUCCUCCACCAACCCCACCUCCACGGCUGCGGUCUUUUUCUACCCCAUUGUCUCCCGUCCUCAAUACCAUGGCCUCGGGCUGCUGCUAUAGAUCCGGCGCGCGCAGAUCUGGGACGAAGCUGAACCCCGACACAGGUCUUGUCAGACCGGAUCUACCGUCGGGUGGCCGGUUACCACAAUUGCUCAGUGGAGGCCGCACCUAGUCGCGACUAGGUGCGUUGUGUGUGCGUGAUGACAUGGCGGCAGCAGCGGCAAUCGGUGGCUCCGGCGUGUCUACUAGUGAGAUGGUACCAAGUAGAUAUAUCCGCACAUGUUCGUCAACCGGCUGCAGAUGCGACCUUGUAUCAAUAUCUAUUUCAGUCUUGGUGGCACUGUUGCAUGGCGCAAAAUAGAGCUUGAGAGGGCGGGCUGCCACGAUGGCCGUGAUGGAGCUGCUCCGUGAUCAACCAGGGGUUGGUUCUCUACUGCCACUCCUAUGAUUUCUUCAUUAUUUCCAUUCCCCAGCUCAACUACCACUGAACUACACCUAUUUAGUUGAUCUAGUUCAGAGUUAGGUAUUUUUCAUGCCAAUUGAAGUUUACGUGUCAAGCAAGUGUUGGUUGCUAUUUUCAGAUCCUUGACAAAUAUUUAGUUUCAUGAGUGAACUUGUUGACACAUGAACAUCUGAAGUUUACGCCGGCCGGGUCGACGAGCAGCGGCUAUGCCCCAUUGAUAUUGCUUAUUAGUGAUGCCCUUUUCCCGUGGAUUUAUAUGGCCUCAACUGCUGCUGAGUAAUAGGAGUUUUGAAAUCUAUCUUCUGUUACGUUGUCACUUAAAGGUAUGAUUGGGUAGUGGUCUACAAAGUGCUACCCAUCAUAAUCUGCGCCAGGACAUGAUAGUUGCCAUCAGGAGAAUCGACGAAGAACCUCAACAACAGCUUCAAAAGUUUAUAUGUUUUGUUGAUGUACACUGGAUUGUACUGCUUCUUAACCUUGUUGUGUGAUAUAUGUAGUGUUGUAAAUUAUCAUUACAUGGAAGGAUUUGUAAACUGCUAUGUUGUAUAUACACACAGGAUUUUUUUGAGAAAAAUAUAUACAUACAGAUGGCCGCAUAUUGCGUGAA